This is a long non-coding RNA of Eubalaena glacialis (North Atlantic right whale), 973 nucleotides long. RefSeq lists it as uncharacterized. The transcript has 4 exons. NCBI's taxonomy places the organism in Eukaryota, Metazoa, Chordata, Mammalia, Artiodactyla, Balaenidae. The record is from RefSeq and is a predicted model, not a curated record.
AUCCCCAGGGAAACCCGGAUACUAACAGGCAAAUGGCUUCAACAGAGGAGCCCCUGACAAAGAAGAUGCUGGACAUCCCUGUCCUUAACCCUCAGACUGGAGACGGAAAUUCUACGUGUCCUCGAGUGGCUUCCUACUCUUCUCACAGAACAGUCUUGGCUCCUUGACCUGGUGUGAGAAGCAGGAGCACGUCCCCCGGCCCCCGCGCCUCCACAGUGAGUGAAGUGCCCCUGACUCGGCUUGGCUUCCGCCACCCAUCAUGGAAGGCUUUGGCAGACCGCUGUGGAAACAAACUCCUAAAUAUUUUAAACAGAGACCAUGGCUGACAGGAGUCAAACUUUCUGUAUUAAGGGAGGAUUAAAGCCUCAGCUAUUUCCAGUAAUUUAUUAUGCACCCGCUCAUAAACACAUUGCACUGGUCACGGAAUGUAUACGUGUAGCAGGCCCUCCAGAGACGGAUGAAGAACACUUCAAGGGCAUCAAGGGCACCCAGGUUCCAGCAUGGAAGCAGAGUCACAGUUGGCAACCUUUGCACGAAUUCUGACCCAAGAGAACGAAAAUAUUCUGAGGAGCAAGCUUGAAGGGAUUGAACCCGUGCCCCCUGCAGUGGAAGUGCAGAGUCUUAACCACUGGAUCACCAGGGAAGUCCCUCAGAUUAUACUGCUGAACUGGUCAUGCUGGCUCUGCAUCUUUUGUAAAAGAAUGCUGCCUAUAGCCUGAAAUAUACAGGACAGCCUACAGGAUAACCUAACCUUGACCUGACCUGAACAGAGAAUAACAGGAACAUCAGGACCUGACUGUGACAUGGCCUACGUAGACAGCUACAUCCAACAACACAAAGAAGUUUGCAACAACUAACCACGCCCCUCCCUCAUCUUGCCUUUAAAGGGCUUUGCUAAAAGCCUUUGGGGAGUUCCAGCUUUUUAAGGCAUAAGCCACCCAUCUCUUUGCCUGGCCCUGCAAUAAACAUUUCU